GAUAUUCAGACAGAUGUGUUUCACCAUUGUAAAGAGUCUGUCUGACCUCUUGCAGUUGUGUCCCUCGGGUUUGCAGAAGAACAAAACUUGGAAGAGGACCCGUUUACCUUUGACUACCACAGGCUGCGUGUUGGAGGCCUGAUUCUAGCUGCUGUCCUCUGUCUCAUUGGCAUCACCAUCCUGUUCA
Non-coding RNA from Gasterosteus aculeatus aculeatus (three-spined stickleback), 187 nucleotides. Lineage: Eukaryota; Metazoa; Chordata; Actinopteri; Perciformes; Gasterosteidae. The record is from RefSeq and is a predicted model, not a curated record.